Molecule: small RNA, 102 nt
Filed under: Marmota monax (woodchuck)
Lineage: Eukaryota; Metazoa; Chordata; Mammalia; Rodentia; Sciuridae
Source: RNAcentral
GCCUGGCACAGUAGUGCAUGCCUGUAAUCCCAGCUGCUCAGGAGGCUGAGGCAGGAGGAUCACGAGUGAGGCACAAAGCAACUCAGUGAGACCCUAUCUCUA